AGAGUUUGAUCAUGGCUCAGAACGAACGCUGGCGGCAUGCCUAACACAUGCAAGUCGAACGAAGGCUUCGGCCUUAGUGGCGCACGGGUGCGUAACGCGUGGGAAUCUGCCCUUAGGUACGGAAUAACUCAGGGAAACUUGAGCUAAUACCGUAUAAUGACUCCGGUCCAAAGAUUUAUCGCCUGAGGAUGAGCCCGCGUCGGAUUAGCUAGUUGGUGAGGUAAAAGCUCACCAAGGCGACGAUCCGUAGCUGGUCUGAGAGGAUGAUCAGCCACACUGGGACUGAGACACGGCCCAGACGCCUACGGGAGGCAGCAGUGGGGAAUAUUGGACAAUGGGCGCAAGCCUGAUCCAGCAAUGCCGCGUGAGUGAUGAAGGCCUUAGGGUUGUAAAGCUCUUUUACCCGGGAUGAUAAUGACAGUACCGGGAGAAUAAGCCCCGGCUAACUCCGUGCUAGCAGCCGCGGUAAUAC
This 472-nucleotide ribosomal RNA is filed under the name uncultured bacterium. RNAcentral's name for it is "bacterial SSU rRNA". It matches the Rfam family "Bacterial small subunit ribosomal RNA", at positions 8 to 526 of the family's 1533-position model. The record is from RNAcentral.